Molecule: ribosomal RNA, 389 nt
Filed under: Stramenopiles sp. MAST-1C
Lineage: Eukaryota
Description: partial small subunit ribosomal RNA
Rfam family: Eukaryotic small subunit ribosomal RNA
Source: RNAcentral
AUUCCAGCUCCAAUAGCGUAUAUUAAUGUUGUUGCAGUUAAAAAGCUCGUAGUUGGAUUUCUGGUGGGAGCGGCCGGUCCGCCGUAAGGUGUGUACUUGGUUGUCUCCUGUCAUCCUUGUGGGAACUGCUCUGGCAUUAAGUUGUCGGGGUUAGGGAACACAUCGUUUACUGUGAAAAAAUUAGAGUGUUUAAAGCAGGCUUAUGCCGUUGAAUACAUUAGCAUGGAAUAAUAAGAUAGGACUUUGGCGUCUAUUUUGUUGGUUUGCACACCAAGGUAAUGAUUAAUAGGGAUAGUUGGGGGUAUUCGUAUUGCAACGUCAGAGGUGAAAUUCAUGGAUUGUUGCACGACAAACCACUGCGAAAGCAUUGACCAAGGAUGUUUUCAUCA